GCCUUCGUAGUGUAGUAGUCGGCACGCUCGGCGUAUAACCGAGAGGUCUGUGGUUCGAUUCCCGACGAACUCG
Molecule: transfer RNA, 73 nt
Filed under: Stegodyphus mimosarum
Lineage: Eukaryota; Metazoa; Arthropoda; Arachnida; Araneae; Eresidae
Rfam family: tRNA
About the family: Transfer RNA (tRNA) molecules are approximately 80 nucleotides in length. Their secondary structure includes four short double-helical elements and three loops (D, anti-codon, and T loops). Further hydrogen bonds mediate the characteristic L-shaped molecular structure. tRNAs have two regions of fundamental functional importance: the anti-codon, which is responsible for specific mRNA codon recognition, and the 3' end, to which the tRNAs corresponding amino acid is attached (by aminoacyl-tRNA synthetases). tRNAs cope with the degeneracy of the genetic code in two manners: having more than one tRNA (with a specific anti-codon) for a particular amino acid; and 'wobble' base-pairing, i.e. permitting non-standard base-pairing at the 3rd anti-codon position.
Source: Rfam by way of RNAcentral